Molecule: ribosomal RNA, 468 nt
Filed under: uncultured bacterium
Lineage: Bacteria
Description: partial 16S ribosomal RNA
Rfam family: Bacterial small subunit ribosomal RNA
Source: RNAcentral
AACGAACGCUGGCGGCGUGCUUAACACAUGCAAGUCGAACGGGACGGCCGUGCUUUUUUGGGGUGGGCGGGUGACGGCGGGGUAAGUAGCACGUAAGUACCCUACCAUUCCCUGUAAGGUGAGUUCAUAACGCAGAGUCUCAUCCCGCCAAAGAUCUCCUGCUGCUGGGUGGGGGUGGGUUAGUUUCGGCAGUUGGGGGUGGAAUGGCGGCUUAUCAGCUUGGUGGUUGGGUAGUGGCUUAGCAAGGCUUUGAAGGGUAGCCGGGCUGAGCGGAGCAGCGGCCAAACUGGGACUGAGAUACGGCCCAGACCCCUAUGGGAGGCAGCAGUGGGGAAUAGUGUACAAGGGGCGGAAGCCUGAUGCAGCAAAGCCGUGUGCGGGAAGACGGCAUGCGGGUUGUAAACCGAUGCCGCUUGUGACGAAGUGUGAGUGACGGUAAUGGGUAAAGAAGCACCGGCUAACUACGUG